GUAGGUGGCAAGCGUUGUCCGGAAUUAUUGGGCGUAAAGCGCGCGCAGGCGGUUCUUUAAGUCUGAUGUGAAAGCCCACGGCUCAACCGUGGAGGGUCAUUGGAAACUGGAGAACUUGAGUACAGAAGAGGAAAGCGGAAUUCCACGUGUAGCGGUGAAAUGCGUAGAGAUGUGGAGGAACACCCGUGGCGAAGGCGGCUUUCUGGUCUGUAACUGACGCUGAGGCGCGAAAGCGUGGGGAGCAAACAGGGAUUAGAUACCCUGGUAGUCCACGCCGUAAACGAUGAGUGCUAAGUGUUAGGGGGUUUCCCGCCCCUUAGUGCUGCAGCUAACGCAUUAAGCACUCCGCCUGGGGAGUACGCCGCAAGGCUG
RNAcentral lists this ribosomal RNA (372 nucleotides) under uncultured organism. RNAcentral's name for it is "partial 16S ribosomal RNA". It matches the Rfam family "Bacterial small subunit ribosomal RNA", at positions 527 to 896 of the family's 1533-position model. The record is from RNAcentral.